CGCCCCUAUUCGACCAUUGGGAUACCUGAUAUCAGAUUAUGGCUGAACAACAGACAAUUAAUCAAAUGAAAACUAUAUUUUAUUCACAAAUGUACAGUAAUUGCAUGAAUAUUAAACAAAGUCGGAAAUAAACAGGAGUCAGAAAACUUUCUAAACUGAAGUUCAAAAAUAAAGUAAUUUCAAAUGUAAAAAUGAAAAUGAAGUGUUCCCAGAAUUAGUCUUUUAAGUAAAAUAAAGUUUGCUUCGCGUUGUGUUAUUUAAGGUAGUAAAAUUGCACCAAAAAGGGGUGACUAACUCUGGCGAACUGCACCGAAGUGGUGGCUAACUCUGAACUCGGGUGGGCUGCUGAGUCCGGCGAGUAUUUGGAGGCCUGUGCAAGGCCGACUCCGACUGAAUAUCAAAUGAUAUCCUAAACUUGUCAUUAAACAGGCUAACUUUAACAUAAAAGGUACUGAAGAAAAGUUAAAAAAAAUUAAUAUUCUUAAAACAUUAUAAAAACAUCAAAGUUAAAUACUAAAACAGUUAAAUUAACAUUCUUUACUUU
This 544-nucleotide long non-coding RNA is filed under the name Mytilus galloprovincialis (Mediterranean mussel). Lineage: Eukaryota; Metazoa; Mollusca; Bivalvia; Mytilida; Mytilidae. The record is from RNAcentral.